RNAcentral lists this unclassified non-coding RNA (1095 nucleotides) under uncultured cyanobacterium. RNAcentral's name for it is "partial contains 16S ribosomal RNA, 16S-23S ribosomal RNA intergenic spacer, and 23S ribosomal RNA". The stretch from base 1 to 150 matches the Rfam family "Bacterial small subunit ribosomal RNA", at positions 1382 to 1533 of the family's 1533-position model. Lineage: Bacteria; Bacillati; Cyanobacteriota. The record is from RNAcentral.
UGUACACACCGCCCGUCACACCAUGGAAGUUGGCCACGCCCGAAGUCGUUACUCCAACCCUUGUGGAGGACGCCGAAGGUGGGGCUGAUGACUGGGGUGAAGUCGUAACAAGGUAGCCGUACCGGAAGGUGCGGCUGGAUCACCUCCUAACAGGGAGACAAACAACGAUCUUGAUGCUUGACUCAAAUUGUAGUUAAGCCGAGAUCCUGUCAUCUCGAUGGUCGAUCGGUACCUCAGGUUGAGAGCUUCAAGGACUGAGCAAUCAGUUUUGUGAAGUGAGUCAAUUUCAGUUCCUAAACGUUGUCUAGGUCACCCCAUAGGGAUGACAAAGUCAGUCAAGUGAUCGUUUCGGUUGUUUGAUUAAUUUUGUUGUUACUGCGAGGUAACGGCUCCUGGGCCAUUAGCUCAGGUGGUUAGAGCGCACCCCUGAUAAGGGUGAGGUCCCUGGUUCAAGUCCAGGAUGGCCCAUUCGUGUUUGGGGGUUUAGCUCAGUUGGUAGAGCGCCUGCUUUGCAAGCAGGAUGUCAGCGGUUCGAGUCCGCUAACCUCCAUAUCAACGACAACCCUCAAGGCACGCUAGGGAGCAUGAAUCCUUAGUGAUUGGCGUGACGUUAGACGAACAGGUGAGAGCUGAGGAGUUCAGCCUCCAAUCAUUCCAGUAUUUCAAAUGGCACGCAACCUGAACGGGUUGUUUGACCGAGAGCUGGUUGAGUGGAUGCUGAAUUCAGCAGUCAAAGACAGCGCGAGCUGUGUUUGGCAUGAAUUCAGCCAAAGAACCUUGACAACUGCAUAGGUGAGUCUGGAAAGAAAGCAUCUCAUGGAUGUCUUGAGUUUCAGCGUCUUUCAAGACAGGUGAAUCCUGCAAGGGAGGAGCUUGAUCUUGGAAGAAACGAGAAGCUUGAGGAGAUUCUAUGAACAGAGCCGAGACCACACAUCGUCUUGUCCCUCGCCGAGAGGAGACGAGUCUGAGGUUGGAGUUCAGGUCAUGGGAACAUGAUGGGAACCCGACCGAAUGAGUUUCAACAACUUAAACGGUGUUGUGGUGAAUAUGGUCAAGCUACAAAGGGCUCACGGUGGAUACCUAGGCACACAGAGA